This 270-nucleotide ribosomal RNA is filed under the name uncultured bacterium. RNAcentral describes it as "partial 16S ribosomal RNA". It matches the Rfam family "Bacterial small subunit ribosomal RNA", at positions 88 to 354 of the family's 1533-position model. The record is from RNAcentral.
ACGGCGACCGGCGCACGGGUGAGUAACACGUAUGCGACCUGCCCGUAGCAGGGGGAUAAGCGGAAGAAAUUCCGUCUAAUACCGCGUAAUAUCUUUCGGGGGCAUCCCUGAGGGAUUAAAGGAAGCGAUUCCGGCUACGGAUGGGCAUGCGGCGCAUUAGCUAGUCGGCGGGGUAACGGCCCACCGAGGCGACGAUGCGUAGGGGUUCUGAGAGGAAGGUCCCCCACACUGGUACUGAGACACGGCCCAAACUCCUACGGAAGGCAGCAG